CUUCUCUUCUUUCAGGAGGCUGGAGAUCAGUCAAGAGGCCACCCAUUGGUAGAUGGAAGAGGGGUGGUGUCAUAAUACUCUUCCUCUUCCCCUUCCCACUCUUGGCUGCCUACUAACAUUCCCUGAUGUUAAAGGCACAUGGAAAAAUUUUCUGAUAUGAAGAUUACAUAGAAAGAGGACAUGUUGAAUCCAUUCUUGAAGUAUUUAAGAAUGAUAUAGAUCACUUUAAAUGGUUUAAGUUAACAAUGGUGUCUAAAGCAAGGGGUCAGAAAACCUUUAAAUGGAAAACAAUAGAAACAGCCUAGGAUUUGGAGUCAGGAACCUGGCUGGAAUCCUGGUUCUUCAGCUACUACAGGCAUUUUAUUUUAAAUGAAGCUGAUGCUGCCACAGUAUUUUCAAGGGAACUGCCUUCUUGUGAAACCACUCAGCUGGCCCUUGAGCAUCCUCCUGUAUCCUGGGAAGAAAGGGAGAGAAGGUGGAGCCACUCGCUGAUGCUGAAGCCCUUUGAGAGGAAAAACAAGGCAUUGCUGGUGGUUAUUUUCCUUUUCUUUCACCCAAACUGUGAAGCUAAUCUUAAGAGAGGAAAUCUAAUGAGCCUAGUCCUUUUAAAAGAGAGAACACUAAAUAUUAGAGAAAUCUAGACCUUGAA
Molecule: long non-coding RNA, 649 nt
Filed under: Monodelphis domestica (gray short-tailed opossum)
Lineage: Eukaryota; Metazoa; Chordata; Mammalia; Didelphimorphia; Didelphidae
Description: lncRNA (ENSMODG00000031112.2)
Source: RNAcentral